AUUGAACGCUGGCGGUAUGCCUAACACAUGCAAGUCGAACGGCAGCACGGGAACAACUCUCUUGGAGGGUGGCGGACGGGCGGGUGGUUGAUGAGAACGUCUCAUGCUGCUGGGGCUAGGGGGGCAACAGCGGGAAUCUUACGCUAAUAGCUCAUACGAGGUAAGGGGGGAAUCUUAGGAUCUUCGGACCUUGCGCCGGUGGAUGGCCCGAUGUCGGAUUAGCGAGUUGGCGGGGUAAAGGCCCACCAAGGCGACGAUCGGUAGCUGGUCUGAGAGGAUGAUCAGCCACACUGGAACUGAGACACGGCCCAGACUCCUACGGGAGGCAGCAGUGGGGAAUAUUGGACAAUGGGGGCAACCCUGAUCCAGCAAUGCCGCGUGGGUGAAGAAGGCCUUCGGGUUGUAAAGCACUUUUGUCCGGAAAGAAAAGGAGCAGGUUAAUACCCCGGUGUUAUGACGGUACCGAAAGAAUAAGCACCGGCUAACUUCGUG
Molecule: ribosomal RNA, 492 nt
Filed under: uncultured bacterium
Lineage: Bacteria
Description: partial 16S ribosomal RNA
Rfam family: Bacterial small subunit ribosomal RNA
Source: RNAcentral